Scomber japonicus (chub mackerel) is the source of this 211-nucleotide long non-coding RNA. RefSeq lists it as uncharacterized. The transcript is spliced from 3 exons. Lineage: Eukaryota; Metazoa; Chordata; Actinopteri; Scombriformes; Scombridae. The record is from RefSeq and is a predicted model, not a curated record.
GUCUGCCUCCCGGCCAUACUGCGCUGCGACCGAGUCCCCGACUGUCCUCAUGGAGAGGAUGAGCACGGCUGCCCUCUGCUGCAGUGUGAGCUGGGAGAACUGGUGUGUGAAGGAUCGCCCGGUUGUAUCCCACUUCAAAAGCGAUGUGACCACUCUGCCGACUGUCUGCCGUUCCUCUCCGAUGAGUCCAGCUGCCAUGAUUGUCCUCCGA